Molecule: ribosomal RNA, 253 nt
Filed under: uncultured bacterium
Lineage: Bacteria
Description: partial 16S ribosomal RNA
Rfam family: Bacterial small subunit ribosomal RNA
Source: RNAcentral
UACGUAGGGUGCAAGCGUUGUCCGGAAUUAUUGGGCGUAAAGAGCUCGUAGGCGGCCUGUUGCGUCCGCUGUGAAAUCCCGGGGCUUAACCCCGGGCUUGCAGUGGAUACGGGCAGGCUGGAGGCAGGCAGGGGAGAACGGAAUUCCCGGUGUAGCGGUGAAAUGCGCAGAUAUCGGGAGGAACACCGGUGGCGAAGGCGACUUACUGGACUGUAACUGACGCUGAGGCAUGAAAGCGUGGGGAGCAAACAGG